UUGGGUGGUUAAGUUCUUGUGGUAUGGAAGCAUACUUCCAGAGCUAAAUCUUGCAUAACUUAUUCUACCCGAGCAUAACUCCCAAGGACCAGCAAUGGAUUUCGGUUUAGCAUGAAUUGCUUUCCUAACUGAUUCAUCAUUUAGCCACGCAGUUGCAAUUUCAUCAUUAAAGCACAUGACACUGCCAUGCUGAGCAAGUUCAGGCCACAAGGUGCCAGGUUUGAGUUGCCCACGAAGAGGCCAAGCACGGCCAAACAUUCUCUUUCUCACUUUAAGAGGUCUCUCCGUUACCCCUAAUUGCCGG
This 304-nucleotide unclassified non-coding RNA is filed under the name Hevea brasiliensis (rubber tree). Lineage: Eukaryota; Viridiplantae; Streptophyta; Magnoliopsida; Malpighiales; Euphorbiaceae. The record is from RNAcentral.